This 253-nucleotide ribosomal RNA is filed under the name uncultured bacterium. RNAcentral describes it as "partial 16S ribosomal RNA". It matches the Rfam family "Bacterial small subunit ribosomal RNA", at positions 524 to 776 of the family's 1533-position model. The record is from RNAcentral.
UACGUAGGGGGCAAGCGUUGUCCGGAAUCAUUGGGCGUAAAGAGCGUGUAGGCGGCUCGAUAAGUCCGCUGUGAAAGUCCAGGGCUCAACCCUGGAAGGCCGGUGGAAACUGUCGGGCUAGAGUCCGGAAGAGGCGAGUGGAAUUCCCGGUGUAGCGGUGAAAUGCGCAGAUAUCGGGAGGAACACCAAUGGCGAAGGCAGCUCGCUGGGACGGUACUGACGCUGAGGCGCGAAAGCGUGGGGAGCAAACAGG